RNAcentral lists this ribosomal RNA (243 nucleotides) under uncultured bacterium. Its description in RNAcentral is "partial 16S ribosomal RNA". It matches the Rfam family "Bacterial small subunit ribosomal RNA", at positions 532 to 774 of the family's 1533-position model. The record is from RNAcentral.
UGGCAAGCGUUAUCCGGAUUUAUUGGGCGUAAAGGGAACGCAGGCGGUCUUUUAAGUCUGAUGUGAAAGCCUUCGGCUUAACCGAGGCAUUGCAUCGGAAACUGUGUUUCUUGAGUGCAGAAGAGGAGAGUGGAACUCCAUGUGUAGCGGUGAAAUGCGUAGAUAUAUGGAAGAACACCAGUGGCGAAAGCGGCUCUCUGGUCUGUAACUGACGCUGAGGUUCGAAAGCGUGGGUAGCAAACA